GAUGAACGCUGGCGGCGUGCUUAACACAUGCAAGUCGAGCGAGAAGUUUUGAAAAGAUUCUUCGGAUGAAAUUUAAAAUGGAAAGCGGCGGACGGGUGAGUAACGCGUAGGCAACCUGCCCCAUACAAAGGGAUAGCAUUUGGAAACGAAUAUUAAUACCUUAUGAAACUUAACUAGUGCAUGCUAGGUAGGUCAAAGAUUUAUCGGUAUGGGAUGGGCCUGCGUCUGAUUAGCUAGUUGGUGAGGUAACGGCUCACCAAGGCGACGAUCAGUAGCCGACCUGAGAGGGUGAACGGCCACAUUGGAACUGAGACACGGUCCAAACUCCUACGGGAGGCAGCGGUGGGGAAUAUUGCACAAUGGGGGAAACCCUGAUGCAGCAACGCCGCGUGAACGAUGAAGGCCUUUGGGUCGUAAAGUUCUGUUCUAGGUGAUGAAAACUGACAGUAACCUAGGAGAAAGCCCCGGCUAACUCCGUGCCAGCAGCCGCGGUAAUACGGAGGGGGCAAGCGUUAUCCGGAAUUAUUGGGCGUAAAGGGUACGUAGGUGGCCUUUUAAGCGUAGGGUAUAAGGCAAUGGCUCAACCAUUGUUCGCCCUAUGAACUGGAAGGCUUGAGUGCAGGAGAGGAAAGCGGAAUUCCUAGUGUAGCGGUGGAAUGCAUAGAUAUUAGGAGGAACAUCAGCGGCGAAGGCGGCUUUCUGGACUGCAACUGACACUGAGGUACGAAAGCGUGGGGAGCAAACAGG
Molecule: ribosomal RNA, 747 nt
Filed under: uncultured bacterium
Lineage: Bacteria
Description: bacterial SSU rRNA
Rfam family: Bacterial small subunit ribosomal RNA
Source: RNAcentral